GACGGACGCUGGCGGCGUGCUUAACACAUGCAAGUCGAACGGAAAGGCCCUGCUUUUGUGGGGUGCUCGAGUGGCGAACGGGUGAGUAACACGUGAGUAACCUGCCCUUGACUUUGGGAUAACUUCAGGAAACUGGGGCUAAUACCGGAUAGGAGCUCCUGCUGCAUGGUGGGGGUUGGAAAGUUUCGGCGGUUGGGGUUGGACUCGCGGCUUAUCAGCUUGUUGGUGGGGUAGUGGCUUACCAAGGCUUUGACGGGUAGCCGGCCUGAGAGGGUGACCGGCCACAUUGGGACUGGGCUACGGCCCAGACUCAUACGGGAGGCAGCAGUGGGGAAUAUUGCCCGAUGGGAGGAAGCCUGAUGCAGCAACGCCGCGUGCGGGAUGACGGCCUUCGGGUUGUAAACCGCUUUCGCCUGUGACGAAGCGUGAGUGACGGUAAUGGGUAAAGAAGCACCGGCUAAUUACGUG
RNAcentral lists this ribosomal RNA (468 nucleotides) under uncultured bacterium. RNAcentral's name for it is "partial 16S ribosomal RNA". It matches the Rfam family "Bacterial small subunit ribosomal RNA", at positions 28 to 507 of the family's 1533-position model. The record is from RNAcentral.